UACGGGGGGAGCAAGCGUUGUUCGGAUUCAUUGGGCGUAAAGGGUGCGUAGGUGGCGGGGUAAGUCAGGUGUGAAAUCUCGGGGCUCAACCCCGAAACUGCACUUGAUACUGCCUUGCUCGAGUACUGGAGAGGAGAUUGGAAUUUACGGUGUAGCAGUGAAAUGCGUAGAUAUCGUAAGGAAGACCAGUGGCGAAGGCGAAUCUCUGGACAGUUACUGACACUGAGGCACGAAGGCCAGGGGAGCAAACGGG
RNAcentral lists this ribosomal RNA (253 nucleotides) under uncultured bacterium. Its description in RNAcentral is "partial 16S ribosomal RNA". It matches the Rfam family "Bacterial small subunit ribosomal RNA", at positions 524 to 776 of the family's 1533-position model. The record is from RNAcentral.